RNAcentral lists this transfer RNA (69 nucleotides) under Himantolophus sagamius (Pacific footballfish). Its description in RNAcentral is "tRNA-Met". It matches the Rfam family "tRNA". Rfam says of the family: Transfer RNA (tRNA) molecules are approximately 80 nucleotides in length. Lineage: Eukaryota; Metazoa; Chordata; Actinopteri; Lophiiformes; Himantolophidae. The record is from RNAcentral. RNAcentral also lists the same sequence under 1 other name.
AGUAAAGUCAACUAAUUAAGCUUUCGGGCCCAUACCCCGAACAUGUAGGUUAAAGUCCUGCCUUUACUA